AGCUCAGCAACCACCUGCUCCUGGGAAUGCAAGCCUCACUGAGAGCCAAAUCUUUUGUAUACACAGUGGUGGGCCCUCUCUUCCUCUAUGUAAUUUGUAAUUGCAGAUGGUCUUGGAGCACAUAAUGUUCUGUGGAUUACCAAGCAUGGGUCAAGAGUUAUCUUAUCCUGGAACAAUAACCUGACAAAAGAAGAAACUAAGAAGUAUACUGUGAAGUAUAUUUUGAGUUAUAAAUUCUUCAAUACAACUCAUGAAAAGAAAUAUAUAUUCAGAAUUUUUCAUGCAUCAUAUAUAAUAUAUCUUUCUUCAAUUGCACCUGGCUUAUUAAAGCAGAAGCUCCUGAAGAUAUUCAGAUAUUUUUUUCAUACAGGUAAUGGUCUUGUGCAAAAUAACUAUGAAGCUAUGCUUUUGUACCUAAGUCCUUGAUUUACAAGACUCAUAUUUCCUUCUCACAGACACGUAGGAAAAGAUUUUGAAUGCCAGCAAUAUAUAAAAAAUGCAAGGAAGAAAAAUAUUGGAUGCCAUAUGAAAGAAAUAUAUUUCCAACCAUCAAGAAAAAUCAAUUUAAACAUAACCAUAAGACAUCUGAGACAUAAUUCAGGAGGCCUGUCUUAUUACAAAGCUUUUACACCUCAGACAAUAGGUAAGUUUUUUCUAUUAUUACCUGUUCAUUUAUUGG
This 679-nucleotide long non-coding RNA is filed under the name Calidris pugnax (ruff). RNAcentral describes it as "lncRNA (ENSCPUG00000006995.1)". The record is from RNAcentral. Lineage: Eukaryota; Metazoa; Chordata; Aves; Charadriiformes; Scolopacidae.